AGAGAAAGCAACAAAGGUCUGGAAGCCGCAGACUGAAAUAAAUAGCGAGCUGUAAUGUAUUUAGCAAAUGAUAAUGCAAUCCGCAGAAAGCUUUACAGAAGAGAAGGAAAAAUACACUCCCUGGGGCUGGGAAGUCACUGAGUCUGUGAAGGCAGAGAAAGAUACAUUGUGCAGGAAAUUUCUCUUGCUUCUCCCUACACAUAAAUCACUGUCUCUCGCGGGCGCUCUGCAGGAUGGAGGUUGAGAGGGGCGAGGGACCCCGCUCCCUUGGGAAAACAUGCUAGCGCUCCUUGCUCCCCGCUAUGAUGCAUCUCACCUGCCCCAGCGGAUCAUUGUCAAAGAGAUUUAGCCGUGUCACUGACACCUCACCCCGCCUCCUCCCACGAGGUGGCUCAGAGUCCCCGAGGACGCGGGACUUCGGAGCUCCCGCUGGACACCGGGGCCUGUUCCAAGGUGUGGAUUUUCAGUAAAUCUUGUCUGGAGACAUCCUUCACGGCCGAGCAGGAACACCUGUGGAAUGACCAGCCACGUAUCUUAUACUCUUGCUGCGUGUAAAAGUCCAUUCACUGAAACACUGUUUAUAACAGAUUAAGAACAACAGGUGUAUCCACACAAUGGAAUACUCUGCCACUGCAAAAACAGACACUGAGAGAACUGCCAUGGAAAGUACUCGAGAUCCUGCCAUUUUCAACACCCUGGAUGGACCUUGAGGGCAUUAUGCUAACUGAAAUAAAUCAGACAGAGAAAGACAAAUACCGUAUGAUCUCACGUUUGGAAUCGAAACACAAAACUAAUAUAAACAGAGAUCAGAUUGGUAUUGCUAGAGGUGGGGAUGGGGGUGGGUGACAUGGGUGAAGGUCAUAAAAUGGUAAAAUCUUCCAGUUAUAGAAUGAAUGAGUUCUGGGAGUGUGAUGUACAGCAUGGUGACUGUAUAGUUAACAAUAUAGUUAACAAUCAUCUGAUGGUUGCUAAGAAAGUAGAUCUUAAAAGUUCUCAUCACAAGAAAAAAAUGUGUUACUAUGUGAGAUGAUGGAUGUGAACUAAACUCAAUGUGGUAAUCAUUUCUCAAUAUAUACAUAGAUCAUUAUGUUGUACACCUUAAAAUUAUACAACAUUAUGUGUCAAUUCAAUAAAACUAGGGGGAAAAGAAAGUAUGGGAUAUACAGUAUUAUGCCCUAGUUUCUAAAAGGGAGAAACUAAGAAUAUAUCUUUGUAUUUCCUGUUAAGGAAAUACCCAUUGGAAGGAUUCAAAAAAUAACUUUAAAAAUGAUUACCUUGGAUGAAAGCAGAUAAUAGGAUUGACAGGACAGGACACAGACUUUUUAAUGUAUAGCUUUUUAUAAUAUUUUGAUCUUUGAACCAUGUAAAUGGGUUACUUAUAAAAUGUGUUAAAACAGAAAUUUCAUAGAGAAGUACUACCAGCCUUUCAAAGCUUAAAUGAGAAAACAUAUGUCCACUUUCUAGCACUGUACCUGACACAUGGUAGGAUCUCAGUAAACACUAACUAUGAAAAUAACUACCCAUUGCAGUGAAGGAAGAAAGGCUUCAAGAUGGAAGGAGAACUUGACCUCAGCCUGGUGGCUGGAAAAAACUCAGAGAGUAGAGAAAUGGGGACCAUCACCAAAUAUGGGAGCAAAGUUGUGAAAACAUGAAGGCUCUGGACAGUAAAUAGCCCAUGGGAUUAGAGCAAAGAGUUGGGAGCAGAAGAGCAGGGGGAGAUGAAGUUAGUGAGAUAAAUUGGGGCCAUAUAGGGGAAGUUUUGAACUGUAGGCUUUAUUCUUUGGGUCAUAGAACAAUAACUAAUCUUUGUAUUGUAUUUUAUGGCAGAAACUCAAAUUUUAUUGUCUGGAUUUGCUACUAACCCAAUUAAUGUUAUAAGCCUCUAAAAUAUUCCUGGACUAGAAAUGUUCUAUUAGACAUGGCAAAUGUCAGGAAGUGUCCCUUUUACCAGAAGCAAAACUCGUCAGAGGGGAUCGUCAAGCUGGCUCAGUCUGUUGAAGGUUUUCAAACUGAACAGUGACUUAAUUUGUUUGCUUUUGGUCCUGGCUUUGGAUUUUACCUGGUAUUUGCAUAAGAAAAAUAUUAAUCAAUUUAAAACUGAAAAAGGGAAGGGAAAGGACCAUCUAAAAGUCAGCUGGUUUAGGACCUUUCUGUUUACUUUCUGCUAAAGGUUCCAAA
This is a long non-coding RNA of Manis javanica (Malayan pangolin), 2178 nucleotides long. RefSeq lists it as uncharacterized. The record is from RefSeq and is a predicted model, not a curated record. Lineage: Eukaryota; Metazoa; Chordata; Mammalia; Pholidota; Manidae.